AACGAACGCUGGCGGCAGGCUUAACACAUGCAAGUCGAGCGCCCCGCAAGGGGAGCGGCAGACGGGUGAGUAACGCGUGGGAACAUACCCUCCGGUACGGAAUAACUCAGGGAAACUUGAGCUAAUACCGUAUACGGCAACCGAGAGGAAUCUUGGAGGCGAAAGAUUUAUCGCCGGAGGAUUGGCCCGCGUCCGAUUAGCUAGUUGGUGUGGUAACGGCGCACCAAGGCGACGAUCGGUAGCUGGUCUGAGAGGAUGAUCAGCCACAUUGGGACUGAGACACGGCCCAAACUCCUACGGGAGGCAGCAGUGGGGAAUAUUGGACAAUGGGCGCAAGCCUGAUCCAGCCAUGCCGCGUGAGUGAUGAAGGCCUUAGGGUUGUAAAGCUCUUUCGCCCACGACGAUAAUGACGGUAGUGGGAGAAGAAGCCCCGGCUAACUUCGUGCCAGCAGCCGCGGUAAUACGAAGGGGGCUAGCGUUGUUCGGAAUUACUGGGCGUAAAGCGCGUGUAGGCGGGUCCUUAAGUCAGGGGUGAAAUGCCGAGGCUCAACCUCGGAACUGCCUUUGAUACUGGGGAUCUUGAGUCCGGGAGAGGUGAGUGGAACUGCGAGUGUAGAGGUGAAAUUCGUAGAUAUUCGCAAGAACACCAGUGGCGAAGGCGGCUCACUGGCCCGGAACUGACGCUGAGACGCGAAAGCGUGGGGAGCAAACAGGAUUAGAUACCCUGGUAGUCCACGCUGUAAACGAUGGAUGCUAGCCGUUGGGGAGCUUGCUCUUCAGUGGCGCAGCUAACGCUUUAAGCAUCCCGCCUGGGGAGUACGGUCGCAAGAUUA
Molecule: ribosomal RNA, 833 nt
Filed under: uncultured bacterium
Lineage: Bacteria
Description: bacterial SSU rRNA
Rfam family: Bacterial small subunit ribosomal RNA
Source: RNAcentral